UGUAUCGAUGAUGAUAGCUUGGCUCCCUCUACUGAGACCCAGUGAGGAUAAACGCCACUGUUACCCAAUUCUUACUGAGAUACA
Sardina pilchardus (European sardine) is the source of this 84-nucleotide small nucleolar RNA. RefSeq annotates it as small nucleolar RNA SNORD100. Lineage: Eukaryota; Metazoa; Chordata; Actinopteri; Clupeiformes; Clupeidae. The transcript has a single exon. The record is from RefSeq and is a predicted model, not a curated record.